UAAUACGGGGGGCGCAAGCGUUGUUCGGAAUUACUGGGCGUAAAGGGCAGGUAGGUGGUUUGUUAAGUCGUUUGUGAAAAUCCGGGGCUCAACCCCGCGAAAUGCAGGCGAAACUGGCAGACUAGAGACCGGUAGAGGCUAGUGGAAUUCCUGGUGUAGCGGUGGAAUGCGUAGAUAUCAGGAAGAACACCAGUGGCGAAGGCGGCUAGCUGGGCCGGGUCUGACACUGAACUGCGAAAGCGUGGGGAGCAAACAGCAUUAGAUACCCUGGUAGUCCACGCCGUAAACGAUGGGCACUAGAUGCCGGGCAUAGAGACGUGUUCGACGUCGUAGCUAACGCAUUAAGUGCCCCGCCUGGGGAGUACGGUCGCAAGGCUG
This 378-nucleotide ribosomal RNA is filed under the name uncultured Gemmatimonadota bacterium. Its description in RNAcentral is "bacterial SSU rRNA". It matches the Rfam family "Bacterial small subunit ribosomal RNA", at positions 521 to 896 of the family's 1533-position model. The record is from RNAcentral. Lineage: Bacteria; Pseudomonadati; Gemmatimonadota.